RNAcentral lists this transfer RNA (67 nucleotides) under bovine gut metagenome. It matches the Rfam family "tRNA". From Rfam's summary of the family: Transfer RNA (tRNA) molecules are approximately 80 nucleotides in length. Their secondary structure includes four short double-helical elements and three loops (D, anti-codon, and T loops). The record is from RNAcentral.
GGACGUAGCACAAUGGCAGUGCGGCGGUCUCCAAAACCGUUUAUGGGGGUUCGAUUCCCUCCGUCCC